UGAGCGGAGGUGAAUGCACCUGCUUAAGGAGAGGAAGGCAGAUCACCAAAGGCGGCAGGAGUCCUGUGAUGAGGAUGGGAGGUUGGGAGAAGCUAAGAAGAAGGAGAGAAGAGACUCUACAGUGGAAGAACACACUUUGGGAAGAGCAGGAUCAGCCCCUUUAUCAUUUCAGUUUCCCUCUUCUGCUGCACCUUCUUCAGUUCGACAAUAUCCCCUUUUUGUAAUCUGGUGACCGGAACAAUACACAUUACUUCUGAGGAACAGCUACAACUGGAAACAAGGUCAGCUUCAUGUUGUUGUUGCUGUUGUUGUUGUUAUACCCCAGUAAGCUUCCAUACCACCUUGGGUUUAUUCUCUCUUUUUGACAGUUAAAGCACCACAUUUUCAUUGAUGCCAGGAGAUGUUGAACAGUAGGGCACACAUCUUGGGGUGCCUCUGUUAUGGCACAAGAGAUAUUCCCAGACUGAUUGGGCAAGGUUUGGACCACAAUGUGUGUCUGGACAUUUAAAUUUGCAUU
Molecule: long non-coding RNA, 517 nt
Organism: Hemicordylus capensis (graceful crag lizard)
Lineage: Eukaryota; Metazoa; Chordata; Lepidosauria; Squamata; Cordylidae
Exons: 3
Source: RefSeq, a predicted model, not a curated record